This 424-nucleotide ribosomal RNA is filed under the name Aname sp. MYG411. RNAcentral describes it as "partial 16S ribosomal RNA". It matches the Rfam family "Archaeal large subunit ribosomal RNA", at positions 1926 to 2666 of the family's 2987-position model. Lineage: Eukaryota; Metazoa; Arthropoda; Arachnida; Araneae; Anamidae. The record is from RNAcentral.
UAAAAGAAAUCAUUUUUAGUACUUCCUGCUCAAUGAAAUUUAAAUAGCCGCAGUCCCCUGUGCUAAGGUAGCAUAAUCAUUUGCCUAAUAAUUAUAGGAUAGAAUGAAAGGAAUUACAUGUUAUCUUCUUUAUUAAAAAGGAAAUUUUAAAUUAUUAUUUAAGUAAAAACUCUUAAAUUAUUAGGGGGACGACAAGACCCUGACGAACUUUACUCUUUGUUUAGCUGGGGCGGCAAAUAAAUUAUACCUUUUUUAUAAAUUUCUAAAUUUAACCUUAAUAUGAUAAUCAAGUUACCGCAGGGAUAACAGCAUAACUUUUUCCUGAAGACCUUAUACAAGAAAAUAUUUGUGACCUCGAUGUUGAAUUAAAAGUCUUUUAGAAGCAGAAUUCUAAAAAGAGAGUCUGUUCGACUCUUAAAUAUUU